GGCGCCGUAGCCAAGUGGUAAGGCAGCGGAUUGCAAAUCCGUUAUUCCCCGGUUCGAAUCCGGGCGGCGCCU
This 72-nucleotide transfer RNA is filed under the name Planctomycetota bacterium. Its description in RNAcentral is "tRNA-Cys". It matches the Rfam family "tRNA". From Rfam's summary of the family: Transfer RNA (tRNA) molecules are approximately 80 nucleotides in length. The record is from RNAcentral. Lineage: Bacteria; Pseudomonadati; Planctomycetota. RNAcentral also lists the same sequence under 6 other names.